This is a long non-coding RNA of Aquila chrysaetos chrysaetos, 5422 nucleotides long. RefSeq lists it as uncharacterized. Lineage: Eukaryota; Metazoa; Chordata; Aves; Accipitriformes; Accipitridae. The record is from RefSeq and is a predicted model, not a curated record. The transcript is spliced from 2 exons.
GCCGGGGACACCAGCGCUGCGGUGCGGCGCGGGCGGGCCCGGGCGGGUGUCCCACCUUCCAGCCCCGAGCUGCCCCUUUCCGCUCAGCGUUGCGCUCCCUCGCCCGCCUGGGCAUGGGGCCUGCCCCAGCGCCGGGGCGGGCCGGGCCGUCGGUCUGGUCGGGGCCCUGCGUCUCCCACUGCUGCACAUCAUCCUCCCGCCUCUGCCGAGAGCCUGGAUCCGUCUCCUCCUCGCUGGCUUCCCCGCAGGCGGCUGUGCUGCCCCACAAAGGCAUCUUGCGUCCCGUCACGGAGCAGGCCCUGGUGCCUCGGCCUUGCCUCCGAGCCGGCGCUCCAGCACCAGAGCGUCGUGGCGGCCUUGCGCUGAACUCGGACAGGACUGCUGCAAGGGAUUCCUCCUCCUCCUCCUCCUCCUCUUCCUCAGCUGCAGGACAGCGCAUGUGUCCCUGAGUUUCAUCAGGCUCCUUUUGACCCAUUUCUCCAGCCUGUGGAGGUACUGUGCUUACCAAGGCCACAGACCCAUGUGCAGAGACCCCCACUGUUGUGGAAGUGCAUGCACCAGCUGGUCUAAAGAAAAGGAGAAGCAGAAAGGAGGAGAGGAGGGAGCAUACAGGAUGUGUGCACUGCCAAGCUGAGAGUACAGAUUUCCAAAUCAACAUGAUUUUCUUCAUUUGUGGGAACUCAGUGAAAGAAUUGAAGCCAACAGGGUGUGACGGAUGGAAAAGCAAUUGUUAAAACUAGGUGUGCUUUUUCCUUUGCCUUGUUCAUUCGACAUGAGGAAUGGGAACAGGCAGAUGAGGGAACUCAGAGAACAUGCUGUGCACGUGGAAGCUUGUCAGCUUUUCCCAGUUAGAUCUAACCCAACUUGUUUACCUCCAUCUGGGAUCUGCCAUACAAUCAGAUGGGAAAGAAGUGAAAAGGGAGCUAUCUGUGCAUUACUAAGACUCUUUGCAAACCAGCCCUUGCCCAGGUCGCUCCUCUCCACUCUCCUCUGUAUUUCUCUUCUGUUCUCACUUGAUCAUUUCCAGUGUGCUUUGCUAGUUGCAGAGCAGUGUAUUCUCCCCUACCAGACCUGUGCCAUGGUACCUAGUUCACCUUUUCCAACUGCAGUAAUAUGCUGGAGCAUAAACAUCCCCACUGCAGUGGGGAAUCACAGGUAGGGUGUUUGCUGCUGUCAGCAAGGUUUGGAUGAAUUAUUUGUAGUUGUUCAGUCUCUUCUCAGCUUUGGGAACAGUCAAGCCAGAAGGAAAUCCUUAAGUGUUAGAAAAGAGAAUGCAAGUGUUUAAAAUUUGGAUGUUUGCUGCAAUGGGUUGUCUGCAACAUUAACUGGUGAGGCUGGUGGCUUAUGCCAGUGACACUGGAGCUCUGCCUUCCUGGAGAGGUGUUUUCAUGGAAAGCUGCCCGAGAACCAUGUACUUCAGCAGUGACCUGUCACAGAGGCAGGGGACAACAUGUGAGCUGUUACAGAAAGCAGUGCAUUGGAGUGAGUCCAGAGCAGCUGGCUCUCUGCUCCCAGGCUGCGUGUCUGGAGCAGUGUCACAUCCUCUGUUUUGUGUAGAGCCAUCCAAGGCCUUGAGCAAUAGGUAACUGGUCUAGAUACAGUCUAUAUGACUGCUGCUCCAGAGGUCGUGUGACUGUGAAGUGGAGGCAUUCAAACAACUACGUUUGCACAGAAAUCCCAGGAAUUAAAGAUUUUCUCUUAAACAACCAGUGUAAAACUGCUGAGGCCACAAACCUCACCUCUUUUGUCUCCCUUAGCUAGCAAAGAUCUCACUAUGCAGGGGCCCAUUUUACAUAGCACCUGUCAAAUCCUUCAUUUAACCUCAGCCUCAAUGUUGAAGCCUGGAGGAAGGUAACAGGGGCAGACCAGGGCUCCUAAAACAGAAGUGGGGAUACCGAGCAUUCCCCACUGAAUCUUGUGGUUCAGGAAAAAAAGGUGGAUACUUUUCUAGUGGGGAAUUUCAGUGGCAAAGGUAUCACAUUAUCAAGACAUUCACACAUUGUCCGGGCUGGGGUAGUAUGGUUAGCAGUGAGAUACCCAUCUGUGAAAUGGAAUUAUUUCUGUCUCCCCUUCUUUGUAUGGAGGCACUAAGAAGUUAAUAAAGAUGGUAUGAAGCUUUUCUACCUCCAGCAGCCCACCAGUUACUGAUGUAAGUCCAGAUCAUCUACUCACCAGUCAACAGAUCAGAACCAUAAAACCACCUUCACUGAUUAGUCCUUCAAAGGCUGAAGAGGCUCAGGCUCUGCAAAUUCUCGGACUGCAGACAAAAAUAAAAGCAACUUAAAAUUUUGUGAUCCAGUCUUGACAAAGCUGUAUUUGGAACAAGGCGUGAUUAAUAUGUCAUUGCCAUAAUAACAACCUGGAGCUCAGACUGGCUGAAGCACUCAAUACAGAGGGAUUAGUCCAAACACAACCACCACAUGCCAUCAGGAGCUUGAAAUUCAGAGCAAAUCUAGCCAAGGACAGCUCGAAACCUUUCUUUCAAGAUUUAAGACAAAUUCUGUCUAGAACUGCCUGUUCAGAGAGGAGCGAGGAGCUGAGCUGCCUCAAGACACACAACAUCUUGUCAUUUAAAAAAAAAAAAAAAGAAAAACAAAUAUUUAGAAAGGAAUAAAAGGAGUAUGACUGCUCUGGAUAUAGGUGACUGUGGAAGCCAGCAAUGAGGCCGUUGGAGAAGCUUUUCAGCAAAGCAGGGGGGGUCAGUGCAAUCCCUGCCCCAUCAUCACCAGAGGUCCCUCACUCUCGGAGCCAGAAGCACUGCAGCAACUGAGCAGAUCUUGAUUAGAAAAUGACCUUUCAAGAGCUCUCUGGGGUUCAUAACUUCCAUGAUUAACUGUCACUUCAGCAUUUUUUUAGGUCGCUGCUCUAAUUGUUGUAUCUAGAUAGGCCCUGAAGCUGUUAAUGCUUUCUACGGGUGGUGGGAUCACACAUUUGGACACGACAUCGCUUGCAUCCUGGUGGCAGAUUAACUGGCCUAAUGAAACAUGUUGCUAUUGAUUUCCUCCCCUCUUCCUUGCUGAGGGCAAUCACUUUAUCUUUGCUCUGCUAAGUAUAUUCAGCAUUUGACUUCUGCAUAUCUCUGUGAUUUUAACACAUCAAAGAGCCUAAGCAAUUUUAAUGUGGCAGCAAAUUUACAGCCAGGUCUGCAGUAUUCUACACAAUAUUUUUGCAACUGAAUAAACUUGUGGAUCUUCUAGAUUCACUCAUUUAUAACAAACACACGGUUUUUGUUCUGAUGAAAUAGAAUAUUGGCUUUCAAGUCCUUUAUACCAAAAGGUUGGGUCAGAUCCAGGAUCCUGAGGACACCGGCUGAGCAUUCACAGCCGGCAGCCCCAUUUCCUUCCUCCUUUUCAAGCAAAAGAAAACCAGGCAGGUCUGUAACAGCUGCAGCAAUGAGAGACUGGAAAGGCAAAGUGUGUUAUGAAAAGCCGCUCUGUAUAUCACACUGUCUUAUUGUCCACAUUUUCCUCUGUGGGAGGCCAGUGGGACAACAUAGUCUCGAAGGAAAACAGAUCUGUGAGUUCAUCUUGGGUCUGCCUCACCUGCCUCUGCAAAGAGCAGCAAGGGGGUACGUUACCCAGCUCAGCACUGUCCCAGCGGAGGAGGAGCUGCUGAUGAGAGCCAGACAAGGAAAGUGGAGAAAAACAAAGCACACGCUUCCUUGGGCAGACUCCUUCCAGCCACCCGGGAACCACUGGUCACCCAUUGCCUUUGGGAGCAGGACUGUGGGUGCAGGGGAUGCUGCUGCUCAGCAUUGUGCCUUCCCCAAGCAUCUCCCGCACCCCUCUCCUGUCCUUGCACAAUUCUUGCCAACAGGCAGCUACGGUGAUAGCACACACUGUUCUUUUGACACACAUGGCUCGUUUCUUCUGCUUCAGCCUUUGCUGCCAGUGUGAUAAAGCAGUUGAUUUGUAUGGUGGAUGCUCCCUCUCCUUGUGUGGUUACACGAGAGUAUUAGUGUGUUUUAAGAAAAGAAAGCUGAUUUUUGGCUGGCAGCUGCUGAACUGUACUGUGCCUUUGUGUGCUGCAGGGACUGCUAGAGCAGAGUGUUUUUCUCAGCCAUUUCACUAGAUUUAUUUAUUUUCAAGGCAAGUGUGUGUUUUCAGGCAAAAAGCAGAUGCAGACAAGCCCUGUGAGCAGCCCUGCUCUGACCCAGGCACUGGGAACCCAUUUCCACUACAUCCCUGAGCAAUGAAUCCCCACCCUGCACCCCCUUCACCACUCAUGCACUGUUCCUGGACUACUCAGGGACCAGCUUGCACACCCAAGUUUCCAGUAGAGGGGUGAGAAAACAACCUGUGCCCCCCUGGCCCCCAGCCAACUGGGACCUCGGCCUCAGGAGGCUUUUGUGCAGAGGGAUAUGUAUUGGUCCUACAGAGCACCUGAGCAGCCCUUCCCAGCUGCUGAGCUUUCCUGGAGCAUCAGGUCCACCCGCAGACCUGUCCUCUCCCAGCAUCAGCCUCUCGCACCCAAUCCAGCCCCAGGGCACCGCAGUGGAGGUGUCUGAGGGUUUUUCCUGUCUUUCCCCAGGAAUGUGGAAAAAAAGGCACAUGGUGUUGUAUAGCGCUAUACACUAUAGAUGCCGCAGAGAUUUCCUAUUAUGUGGAAUAGAUGCAGAUGGUUGAGGUGGCUGCAGGGCCAUGGGAAGUAGAGUGGCACUUGUAUGCACUCGUGUCAAAUCUUGCCAAUCUUUUUGCACUGUAGAAGCUCAGUGUUGUUUUAAAUCACUGAAGUACAAAUUUAGAUUCUGUAUUCCUUGGAAAUAAAGGCGGCAGGAAUACAGAAUCCACCUCGUUGUGUGCAGUUUUCGUUACAGUGAACAUAUUUCUUGGUUUAAAGUCAUGGAAUUGCAAAUUUGUCCUGCGACAAGUUUUCUGUCCGUCCCUGCUGUGUAACAGAAGACAGCAGUGCUGUCCUUAGAGCAGGGAGCAGCCCUUACUUGGAAAGCCAAUGCUAACCUGAAACCAGGUGAGAGUCUGGAUCAAUAUUUUUCCGGCUAAUCCUCUGAAGGGACGGGAGGGGAUGGGCUAAAUGAUGACAUAAAUUAAAGUAAGGUGAGUUGCAACCUCCUCCACAAAACAUCAACCAAAUUUGUGGAUGGCUUGAUCCUGGUCCAAACCAAUGCAGCAAACCCAACACCAGCCCAGGGAAGUGGAGGCUUGUCACUUCCAUCAUUUGGUAACCCUGGAUGACAUCUAGAAGUACGCCUCUUCCUAAUCCAUUAAUUCUGUGGAUAUUCAUUUGUAUUGAAGAAACACUGUUAGUUCCUGGGAGUUCCCCACAGAAAGUCAAUUUAAGGGCUGAUUGCUGGAAAGUGUCACGUUGCCACCUGGGGUUUCAGCUGCAAUUGCAGGGAUUAAGUCCAGCAUGAGGAACAAAGUGGUCAACAUGUAAAACCAGAUUAAAGGAAAAUUAAAGCAUG